AUUGAACGCUGGCGGCAUGCCUUACACAUGCAAGUCGAACGGUAACGGGCCUUCGGGUGCCGACGAGUGGCGAACGGGUGAGUAAUGCAUCGGAACGUACCUUUCAGUGGGGGAUAACGUAGCGAAAGUUACGCUAAUACCGCAUAUUCUGUGAGCAGGAAAGCAGGGGACCGCAAGGCCUUGCGCUCUUUGAGCGGCCGAUAUCAGAUUAGCUAGUUGGUGGGGUAAAAGCUCACCAAGGCGACGAUCUGUAGCGGGUCUGAGAGGAUGAUCCGCCACACUGGAACUGAGACACGGUCCAGACUCCUACGGGAGGCAGCAGUGGGGAAUUUUGGACAAUGGGGGCAACCCUGAUCCAGCCAUGCCGCGUGAGUGAAGAAGGCCUUCGGGUUGUAAAGCUCUUUCGGCCGGGAAGAAAUCGUAUCAGCUAAUACCUGGUGCGGAUGACGGUACCGGCAUAAGAAGCACCGGCUAACUACGUG
RNAcentral lists this ribosomal RNA (482 nucleotides) under uncultured bacterium. Its description in RNAcentral is "bacterial SSU rRNA". It matches the Rfam family "Bacterial small subunit ribosomal RNA", at positions 30 to 507 of the family's 1533-position model. The record is from RNAcentral.